RNAcentral lists this microRNA (25 nucleotides) under Eptesicus fuscus (big brown bat). Its description in RNAcentral is "efu-miR-9259". Lineage: Eukaryota; Metazoa; Chordata; Mammalia; Chiroptera; Vespertilionidae. The record is from miRBase by way of RNAcentral.
UCCUCCAGGACGUGCAGGAGCCUUC